RNAcentral lists this ribosomal RNA (217 nucleotides) under uncultured bacterium. RNAcentral's name for it is "partial 16S ribosomal RNA". It matches the Rfam family "Bacterial small subunit ribosomal RNA", at positions 1284 to 1500 of the family's 1533-position model. The record is from RNAcentral.
CGUCCCAGUUCGGAUUGUAGUCUGCAACCCGGCUACAUGAAGCUGGAAUCGCUAGUAAUCGCGGAUCAGAAUGCCGCGGUGAAUACGUUCCCGGGUCUUGUACACACCGCCCGUCACACCAUGGGAGUCGGAAAUGCCCGAAGUCUGUGACCCAACCUCAGGGAGGGAGCAGCCGAAGGCAGGUCGGAUGACUGGGGUGAAGUCGUAACAAGGUAAC